CAGGGUACCAUAUAAAAAGGAUGGGUGUCCUCCUGUCCAAAUAAUUCACUCAGAGUGCUUUGGUCUUCUGCUCCACAGCUGCUGUAGAGGCACCACCUCAGCUACAGAAAGAUGGGCUGCUGCUGUGCACACUGCAAAAAGCAAAAUGAUGAACACUCCUGUUAUGAAGCCCACAGACAUACAGCCUGUGUGCCGAACCCUAGCUGUCCUCAAGGUGGCGCUCCUGGGCCUUAUCAGGGAGGGAGGUUCUACCCUGCACCGCACUGCCUUCCACCUCAAGAAGGCUGUAAACAGGAUGGUGCAUAUCCCCUCCAAUAUGAUCCAGUGAAGAGCUGAAGAGGAACUUCCAUUCUGGCCUUCAGAAACCCAAGCAUUCAUCCAGCUCAACCAUUCCAGCAUCCUGACAUUUUAAAUUCAAAGGAUUCCAUUCAAAUUCAGAAAUGAUGAACAUUUAACUUUUUGUAAAAAAAAAAAUAUGGACUUUGCAAAUUUUAAAUUGUUUGUUGGGCAUCCAGUCUCAAAUUGGCUGCCAAGGCCUGGACUUUUCUGUCACCGAAAGCAUGAUUCACGUCUUGAGGCCGUGAUUGGUAAUUGAGUUCUUUUGCCCCCCUCACUUGCAUUUGAUAUAUACAGAUGUCGCAUUGUCAGCAUUCUGAAUGAAAUCCAGCUUAGUCAUAUGAGGAAACCCAUCAAAAUCAAUGGAUUCAAGUUAGUUAAUGGGGUUGCAUCCAAUGUUAGUCAUAUUCAAAGUAAAUCUAUUGAAAUUGAUUGACCUAAGUCAGUCAUAGAGAGCCAGUGUGGCAUAGUGGUUAGAGUGUUGGACCAGGGUUCAAAUCCCCCCACAGCCAUGAAGCUCACUGGGUGCCUUUGGGCCAGUCACUGUCUCUCAGCCUCAGAGGGAGGCAAUGGAAAACACCCUCUGAAUACCAUGAAAAACCCUAUUCAUGGGGUCACCAUAAGUCAGAAUCAACUUAAAGGCUUUCAAUUUAUGUCAGUCAUAUCCAUUCAUUUUAAAGGGUCUAGUCUGAGUAUGAUUCAAUAGGAUACAACUUAUUGAUUUCAAUGGGUCCACUCUCUGAGUAUGACUUAGCUGGAUCUCUCUCUUUGAAUUCAAGUCUUAGUGUUGACCCUUGAGCAUCUGAACUUUCAAAUUGAAAAAUAUGACUAUUCAUGUUUUGCUUUCCUGAAGCCAACCAGACUACUUUUCCACAUCAUCGUGAUGCUUGUCUCUCCUCAGUUGAACAAUACAGAUUUCUGAUUUCUCUGUGA
Long non-coding RNA from Rhineura floridana, 1269 nucleotides. RefSeq lists it as uncharacterized. The record is from RefSeq and is a predicted model, not a curated record. NCBI's taxonomy places the organism in Eukaryota, Metazoa, Chordata, Lepidosauria, Squamata, Rhineuridae. The transcript has 2 exons.